GCCUCCGCAGGCCGCCUCCGCCUCCAGUUUUCUUGGUACUAGCUACCGGAGCGGAGCGCAGCUGCUUAAGUGGAGCUUGCCAGGCGACCGCGUCAUGAACCGCAACUUGAACGCUGUGCAGAGCUUCUUGGAGCAGUUGGAGGCGCGAGGCGGCUGGGAGAGGGCGGUCCUGGCCGGGGAGUUCAGAGACAUCCAGGCCCACUCAGUCGCAUGGAAGACCGACCCUGUGUAUUCCACUGAGGCUGGCCGUCUGCCGGGGAACGUGAGGAAGAAUCGCUACAAAGAUGUGCUGCCAUAUGAUCAGACACGAGUGAUCCUCUCCCUGCUCCAGGAGGAGGGACAUGGCGACUACAUCAAUGGCAACUUCAUCCGGGGCACAGACGGAAGCCAGGCCUACAUCGCCACACAAGGACCCCUGCCUCACACCUUGCUAGACUUCUGGCGCCUGGUCUGGGAGUUUGGGGUCAAGGUAAUCCUGAUGGCAUGUCCAGAAAUGGAGAAUGGGCUGAAAAAGUGUGAGCGCUACUGGGCUCAAGACCAGGAACCACUGCAGAUUGGGCUUUUCUGUAUCACCCUGACAAGGAAGAGAUGGCUGAAUGCAGACAUCAUGCUCAGGACCCUCCAGGUUACUUUUCAGAAGUUUCAGGAAUGUCGUUCUGUGUACCAGCUGCAAUAUAUGUCCUGGCCAGACAGAGGAGUCCCUAGCAGUCCGGAAUAUGUGCUCACCAUGGUGGAGGAAGCCCGUCACCUCCAGGGAUCUGGACCCAGCCCCCUCUGUGUCCACUGCAGUGCGGGCUGUGGGCGGACAGGUGUCUUGUGCACUGUGGAUUAUGUGAGACAGUUGCUCUUGACCCAGAUGAUCCCACCUAACUUCAGCCUCUUCAACGUGGUCCUGGAGAUGAGAAAGCAGCGGCCUGCAGCUGUGCAGACAGAGGAGCAAUACAGAUUCCUAUACCACACAGUGGCUCAGAUGUUCUCCUCAGCACUCCAAAACACCAGCCCCCUUUACCAGAAUUUCAAGGAGGUACCAAGGCCCCCUUCCUACUCUCUUCAUAUCUACCAUCAAAGCCUCGGAUGGAGACCAGGACCCAGAGAAGAAGUGUUUGGCCACCAUGGACUCCUUCUGGGAGCAGGGACUGACUAUGAUAUCCACCUUUGUCCUCCUUGCUACCUUAUCAGACUGUUCUUCUUAAGCUUACCCCUCUACCCCAAGAGUCCACGGUCACUUCCAUGGACUUCCCAAACAGGGGUCUGGCCAGUUCCCUCCAAGUCUCAUACUCUUCCCCUCCUGUCUUUCCCCAGAAUUGUGCCCCAGUCUACGAUGACGCCCUCUCCUUCCAGACUUCCCAGAUGCUUCCCACCACACGGCGCCCACCUGGCCAGGUCCUCAGAAGCAUCUCGGUGCCUGGGCCCCCGGCCCUCGCCAUGGCCGACACGUAUGCGGUGGUGCAGAAGCGCGGGGCUCCGGCGGGCACCCGGGCCGGGGCGCGGGGGCGCGGCGCAGAGGAGGGGCCGCUCUACAGCCAGGUGACGCCGCGCGCCCGGCGGCUGCAAGCGCACGCGGAGAACGCGCGUGGGGUGCUGCCCAGCGGUGUUCCUGCUGACCAAAGCCCUGCUGGGCCUGAUGCCUAUGAGGACGUGGUGGAUGGAGCUCAGAGUGGUGGGCUAG
This is an RNA transcript of Lutra lutra (Eurasian river otter), 1669 nucleotides long. It is a transcript of the gene named protein tyrosine phosphatase non-receptor type 18, with no coding region annotated. Lineage: Eukaryota; Metazoa; Chordata; Mammalia; Carnivora; Mustelidae. The record is from RefSeq and is a predicted model, not a curated record. The transcript has 13 exons.